GCGAUCAUACCUGCACUAAUGCACCAGAUCCCAUCAGAACUUCGAAGCUAAGCGUGCUUGGGCGAGAGCAGUACUAGGAUGGGUGACCCCCUGGGAAGUCCUCGUGUUGCACCU
This 114-nucleotide ribosomal RNA is filed under the name Zingiber officinale. Lineage: Eukaryota; Viridiplantae; Streptophyta; Magnoliopsida; Zingiberales; Zingiberaceae. The record is from RNAcentral.